CCCUUAGAUGUUCUGGGCUGCACGCGCGCUACACUGACACACGCAACGAGUCUCCUGCCCUGACAGGGUCGGGUAAUCAUUUGAGUGUGUGUCGCGAUGGGGAUAGAGUAUUGCAAUUAUUGCUCUUGAACGAGGAAUUCCUAGUAAGCACAAGUCAGCAGCUUGUGCUGAUUACGUCCCUGCCCUUUGUACACACCGCCCGUCGCUCCUACCGAGGGGGUGAUCCGGUGAAUGAUUCGGACUCUGGUGCUUCUAGCUGCUAGAUGCGCCGGAGGAAGUUUUGUGAACCUUAUCACUUGGAGGAAGGAGAAGUCGUAACA
This 320-nucleotide ribosomal RNA is filed under the name uncultured eukaryote. RNAcentral's name for it is "partial 18S ribosomal RNA". It matches the Rfam family "Eukaryotic small subunit ribosomal RNA", at positions 1470 to 1796 of the family's 1831-position model. The record is from RNAcentral.